UUAAUCGGAAUUACUGGGCGUAAAGCGUGCGCAGGCGGUGAUGUAAGACAGGUGUGAAAUCCCCGGGCUUAACCUGGGAACUGCAUUUGUGACUGCAUCGCUGGAGUGCGGCAGAGGGGGAUGGAAUUCCGCGUGUAGCAGUGAAAUGCGUAGAUAUGCGGAGGAACACCGAUGGCGAAGGCAAUCCCCUGGGCCUGCACUGACGCUCAUGCACGAAAGCGUGGGGAGCAAACAGG
This 236-nucleotide ribosomal RNA is filed under the name uncultured bacterium. RNAcentral's name for it is "partial 16S ribosomal RNA". It matches the Rfam family "Bacterial small subunit ribosomal RNA", at positions 541 to 776 of the family's 1533-position model. The record is from RNAcentral.